RNAcentral lists this ribosomal RNA (438 nucleotides) under uncultured fungus. Its description in RNAcentral is "eukaryotic LSU rRNA". It matches the Rfam family "Eukaryotic large subunit ribosomal RNA", at positions 1 to 432 of the family's 3401-position model. Lineage: Eukaryota; Fungi. The record is from RNAcentral.
GACCUCGAAUCAGGUGGGACUACCCGCUGAACUUAAGCAUAUCAAUAAGCGGAGGAAAAGAAACUAACAAGGAUUCCCCUAGUAACGGCGAGUGAAGCGGGAUGAGCUCAAAUUUAAAAUCUGGCAGUCUUCGAUUGUCCGAGUUGUAAUCUAGAGAAGCGUUUUCCGCGCUGGACUGUGUACAAGUUUCCUGGAUACGGAACAUCAUAGAGGGUGAGAAUCCCGUCCUUGACACAGACUCCCAGUGCUCUGUGAUGCGCUCUCGACGAGUCGAGUUGUUUGGGAUUGCAGCUCAAAAUGGGAGGUAAAUUCCUUCUAAAGCUAAAUAUUGGCGAGAGACCGAUAGCGAACAAGUACCGUGAGGGAAAGAUGAAAAGCACUUUGGAAAGAGAGUUAAACAGUACGUGAAAUUGUUAAAAGGGAAACGCUUGAAGUCAG